Molecule: long non-coding RNA, 1126 nt
Organism: Helianthus annuus (common sunflower)
Lineage: Eukaryota; Viridiplantae; Streptophyta; Magnoliopsida; Asterales; Asteraceae
Exons: 3
Source: RefSeq, a predicted model, not a curated record
AACGGUGGGUACAAAAUACGUUGCCAAAAUAUGUGUUCCUGAAAAGGUUGGCUACAAAAUGCUUCCAUGUAAAGUGAAAGAUUACGAUGAUGGAGAUGAUAAAAAGAAAGGUGGCGGUGAUCAACACCGGAAAUUGCUUUCUUUGAGUGAAGAAAUGAUAUUCCGACGAGUUUUAGCCAGAGCCAGUGACAACGGCAGUACUUGUUCUGAGGGAAUGGUUCCGAUGAUAUCAUAUUAAGCGGUUCACCAGCUUCAUAUAUUCAUUUUUAUUCUUGUCGUUUUCCAUGUCCUAAUAGCAUCGUCUGGCGGAUUCUUCUUUUUUGGGUUUCUUGCAUUGCUAGGGGUUCUGAAAGAUCAAGAGAAGGAGGGGAUUUACAGGGAUUAGAGGUGAAAUAGAUUCUUUCAGAAAUCAGAAUGAUCUAAGGGGAGAAAGAUGUAACAGGGGAGAAAGAUGAUGUGAUGAUGAUGAACCGAUGGGGUUUAAGUUGGGUCCAACAGAAUUUGGGUAUUGCACAUAUGGUCCCUGUUGUUAAGGAGUUUUACAAAGUUACAUGUGAGGGGUUUUAACAUAAAAAAGUUAACUGGGUUUAGCUGAAAUGACACCGCCCGUUAAUGAUUGCAAACAUAAAAAACAUACAGUGUAAUUUUUAAGUUAAAGGACAGCGUCUGUCGAAACAUUGAAACAUAAAGGACGAAAAGUGCAAUUUAGCCUAUCUUUAAUGCCAGUAAAAGGGUGUGUCAAGCGCUAAUAAUCUCUAGUUCAAGUGAUGGAAGGCCAACAUUUCUUUUGGGAGAUGCAUGUUUAACUCCCACUUGGUGUAGAGUGAGAAACUGGUGGACAAUGAUAGAAUACCCAGGAAAACUUGGGUUCGAUCCUUGAGCUAAAUGGGUUUUAAUGGUAAUUUUACCGUCGUGCCUACGGACGGGUGGGUUACCGGGUUUUCCCCGAAAUUGGUGGUGGACUCUGGUUACUCUCAAAGUACUCCAUUUGGUCCAGUGGGUGCCCUAAGAGUGCUCAGGAUUGAUUUUGUUAGCCGCUAAAAAAAAAUAAAUAAGGGCCUCACCCAGUUAAAAUUGAUUUCUUCUUUGAAAUGUCAAAGGGCCAUACGUUUUAAAUAAAUGAAUA